GUGGGGAAUAUUGGACAAUGGGCGAAAGCCUGAUCCAGCAAUGCCGCGUGAGUGAUGAAGGCCCUAGGGUUGUAAAGCUCUUUUACCCGGGAUGAUAAUGACAGUACCGGGAGAAUAAGCUCCGGCUAACUUCGUGCCAGCAGCCGCGGUAAUACGAGGGGAGCUAGCGUUGUUCGGAAUUACUGGGCGUAAAGCGCGCGUAGGCGGUUUUUUAAGUCAGAGGUGAAAGCCCGGGGCUCAACCCCGGAAUUGCCUUUGAAACUGGAAAACUAGAAUCUUGGAGAGGUCAGUGGAAUUCCGAGUGUAGAGGUGAAAUUCGUAGAUAUUCGGAAGAACACCAGUGGCGAAGGCGACUGACUGGACAAGUAUUGACGCUGAGGUGCGAAAGCGUGGGGAGCAAACAGGAUUAGAAACCCCAGUAGUCC
This 425-nucleotide ribosomal RNA is filed under the name uncultured bacterium. Its description in RNAcentral is "partial 16S ribosomal RNA". It matches the Rfam family "Bacterial small subunit ribosomal RNA", at positions 354 to 796 of the family's 1533-position model. The record is from RNAcentral.